This 337-nucleotide ribosomal RNA is filed under the name uncultured low G+C Gram-positive bacterium 371ev. RNAcentral's name for it is "bacterial SSU rRNA". It matches the Rfam family "Bacterial small subunit ribosomal RNA", at positions 9 to 327 of the family's 1533-position model. The record is from RNAcentral. Lineage: Bacteria; Bacillati; Bacillota.
GAGUUUGAUCCUGGCUCAGGAUGAACGCUGGCGGCGUGCCUAACACAUGCAAGUCGAGCGAAAGUUAGUGGAGUGGAGACUUCGGUCAAAGCAAAGCUGAUGAAAGCGGCGGACGGGUGAGUAACGCGUGGGCAACCUGCCCCAUACAAAGGGAUAGCCACUGGAAACGGUGAUUAAUACCUUAUAAGUCGGUAGUCUCGCAUGAGAGAGCCGACAAAGAUUUAUCGGUAUGGGAUGGGCCCGCGUUUGAUUAGCUAGUUGGUGAGGUAACGGCUCACCAAGGCGACGAUCAAUAGCCGACCUGAGAGGGUGAUCGGCCACACUGGAACUGAGACAC